ACUACGGGAGGCAGCAGUAGGGAAUCUUUCACAAUGGGCGAAAGCCUGAUGGAGCAACGCCGCGUGCAGGAUGAAGGACUUCGGGUUGUAAACUGCUUUUAUCAGCGAGAAAUAUGAUGGUACCUUAUGAAUAAGGAUCGGCUAACUACGUGCCAGCAGCCGCGGUCAUACGUAGGAUCCGAGCAUUAUCCGGAGUUACUGGGUGUAAAGAGUUGCGUAGGUGGCAUGUUAAGUAGCUAGGGAAAUCUGGUGGCUCAACCAUUCAGACUAUUAGGUAAACUGUGAGGCUCGAGACCGGGAGGGGUAACCGGAAUUUCUAGUGUAGGAGUGAAAUGCGUAGAUAUUAGAAAGAACACCAGUAGCGUAGGCAGGUUACUGGAACGGUUCUGACACUAAGGCUCGAAAGCGUAGGGAGCAAACGGGAUUAGAUACCCGUGUAGUC
Molecule: ribosomal RNA, 442 nt
Filed under: uncultured bacterium
Lineage: Bacteria
Description: partial 16S ribosomal RNA
Rfam family: Bacterial small subunit ribosomal RNA
Source: RNAcentral